UCUUUACAAGCCUGAAUACAAUGGUAUAUUCGAAACCAUUUGAAUACAUAUAUAUGGUGACAGUAGCAGUACUUGUACGCAGUAGCAGAGACUGCCUUGCAUCCACCUAGAAUAGAGGUUAGUCACACACUAUGUUUCAGAAAUAUAAUCAUGGUUGUCUCUUAAAAGAACUCGGGAGUGCCUUGUUAAUUUUCACACUGCAUUUGGAGUGGUUUGUCUAGCAUGGGCCAUUUUUAGUUGUGCUCCUGUUCAGUAAAGACUGCCUGCUACAGUACGUGAAUUCAAUAUGCAAGCCUAGUUGGUUGCAUAAACCAGUCAUUGUGUGAUGACAAAUUAAAGGACUGUGGGCUCAGUGGCAGUCCAUCACUCAGCUACUGGGGGCUCUGGUAUUCAGUCUCUCCACUGUCUCGGUAACUUUUCCUCUGCUCAUGUAUAUAUAGCAGUUUCAGACUCAAAACUGCUGCUGAAGUCUUGAUUUGAGAAAAUCAUAUAAACGAGGGGGUAUCUUGGAUCAGUUUUAGCUAGCAGGAGCUUUUUUUUUAAGUAUCUAUUUAUAAAGUGGUCAUUUGUUAAUUACCCUGUGUUUGGCUUAAAACUUUUUUGGGUUAACUCUUUGGCACUGCAAGCAUUAACCUCCUAGAAAUGAUGCACUGAGGAAGGAACUCCAUCCAUGUUCUGUGGAAAAGGUUCUAGGCUUUUCUCCACUUCCAAGCCAAAAGCCUGUUACCGCUUAGCAGAACUUUCUUGAUGGUUUUAUAUAAUGGUUCUUUUCCCAGACAGAGAAUACAUUCCUGUAAUUUUUGUUUUGUUUUUUCAGUUCACCAUAAUCACAAACUGGAAAAUAAAGCUAUGGUUCGUCUUUGUUUUCUUGCAA
Long non-coding RNA from Podarcis raffonei (Aeolian wall lizard), 874 nucleotides. RefSeq lists it as uncharacterized. The transcript is spliced from 2 exons. NCBI's taxonomy places the organism in Eukaryota, Metazoa, Chordata, Lepidosauria, Squamata, Lacertidae. The record is from RefSeq and is a predicted model, not a curated record.